GACAGAGGUGCCGAGCGUUUAGGCGGAAUCACUGGGCUUAAAGCGUGUGUAGGCGGGUCCGUAAGUACCUUGUGAAAUCCCAUGGCUCAACCAUGGAACUGCUUGGUAUACUGCGGAUCUUGAGCCACCUAGGGGCAAGUGGAACAAACGGUGGAGCGGUGAAAUGCGUAGAUAUCGUUUGGAACGCCAAUGGUGAAAACAACUUGCUGGGGGUGUUGCUGACGCUGAGACACGAAAGCCAGGGGAGCAAACGGG
This 255-nucleotide ribosomal RNA is filed under the name uncultured bacterium. RNAcentral describes it as "partial 16S ribosomal RNA". It matches the Rfam family "Bacterial small subunit ribosomal RNA", at positions 524 to 776 of the family's 1533-position model. The record is from RNAcentral.